RNA transcript from Lycium ferocissimum, 1115 nucleotides. RefSeq lists it as uncharacterized. The record is from RefSeq and is a predicted model, not a curated record. Lineage: Eukaryota; Viridiplantae; Streptophyta; Magnoliopsida; Solanales; Solanaceae. The transcript is spliced from 5 exons.
UUUUUUUUAUAUAGAAAUGAGACUUUGGGGGUACGAACACUGCUUUGAACAAUUGCACUAAAAGCAUUACAAAUUGUACUGUACACUUAGCCCAUCUUUUCUUUCCCAUCACACUUGGGCUCAUCUCAUCUCCUUUUGACAACACGUGUUCCCUACAUCUAAAAGUUGCUCCAUAUUGUUUCCAUUUCACCUAUUCUACUUCCUUAAUGUUGUUUUCCUCUACAAUUCAGAGUUGUUUGGAAUUAUUGAUUUGCAGUGUUUGAUUCAUAGUUGCACAUAAUUUUUUUCUUAAUUUCUGAACAACCUUGGCCAUGGAUUGUCAAAGAGAUGAGCUUUCUGGAGUAGUAUGGAAGAAAAGGGAUUUUGCAGCCAAGGUGUUUGACAAAAUGUCACUAUUAGCCAUAGACUUCAGAAAGAGGAGCUUUCCAGAGAAUUUCAGAGAAGAGAGCUUUUGCAGUUAAGGGAAGCUUUAAAAAGCUAAGAAUAUGGAAAAUGAAGAAAACCUUUCACAAAGUCAUAUGGCCAAAUCAGCUAAUACAUAAUUUUAGCAAAGCAACCCACCAAGAAAUUCAGGAUGUCAUAUAUGCAGGUGAUUUCAAUUCGGAUCGAGAAGAAUGGCUAAUCCUAUACCACCGACGAUCCAUUAUAGUGCGCAACCAGUAUUCUAUCAUAUCUGAAUUCAUAUGGGGUAUGGUGAUCCCACACUAUUAGAGUUAGCAGUUAAGAUUGAGUCAGAUGCCAGAAUGGGGCUUCUCAAAAAGGAGAUUGCAUGUCUAUAUUCUUUGUCGAUGCAGUGAGCUCUCUUCUUGGAGCUCUACUCUAUCAAGUUGCUUUCGAGUAUCGGAUGUUUUAGGACCGAUAGAAAUAGAAAUGGUCUCACGUGUAAACUUAUAAAUCGUAUCUUAGAGUUCUUUCCUGUAAAUGUAGCCUCUAACUUUUAAUGCCCUCAAGUUUCGUUAAUUGGGAGAAUUAGGUGCAAAAAAAAUUGCUACCUAAGUGUAUUGUUGAAAUUUAUGCCAUCAGCUUCUUCAUUGCAAUGUUAUCAUACGACUAAGGAAAGAAAGCAAAGUUACUCUGGAAGCACUCUAUCAUUCAACUCCAGUUCCUGUUAUUUC